This 421-nucleotide ribosomal RNA is filed under the name uncultured bacterium. RNAcentral describes it as "bacterial SSU rRNA". It matches the Rfam family "Bacterial small subunit ribosomal RNA", at positions 355 to 773 of the family's 1533-position model. The record is from RNAcentral.
UAAGGAAUAUUGGACAAUGGACGCAAGUCUGAUCCAGCCAUGCCGCGUGAAGGAUGAAUGCCCUCUGGGUUGUAAACUUCUUUUAUAGGGGAAGAAAGAUACUUUUUUUAAGGUAGUUGACGGUACCCUAUGAAUAAGCACCGGCUAACUCCGUGCCAGCAGCCGCGGUAAUACGGAGGGUGCAAGCGUUAUCCGGAUUUACUGGGUUCAAAGGGUGCGUAGGUGGGCUUAUAAGUCAGUGGUGAAAUCUCCGAGCUUAACUUGGAAACUGCCGUUNAUACUAUAGGUCUUGAAUUAUCUGGAGGUAAGCGGAAUAUGUCAUGUAGCGGUGAAAUGCUUAGAUAUGACAUAGAACACCAAUUGCGAAGGCAGCUUACUACAUAUAAAUUGACGCUGAGGCACGAAAGCGUGGGGAUCAAAC